This 182-nucleotide long non-coding RNA is filed under the name Phasianus colchicus (ring-necked pheasant). RNAcentral's name for it is "lncRNA (ENSPCLG00000008732.1)". The record is from RNAcentral. Lineage: Eukaryota; Metazoa; Chordata; Aves; Galliformes; Phasianidae.
UGAGAAUAAGGUGCUUGUCAGGGAGGUCAUCCAUGGCAGCAGCUGCACCUGUAUUGCAGACCAUGCUAUCACUAGGACUGCAAUGCGCGAUGCUCUCUGAUAUCUGGUGCAACCUAGAGAGAACUCUGAAUGGCAGAUUUGCUGGAAAAACACUGAGUAAAUUGUUGUACAGAAGGAUUUAA